UAUGUUUAAUUUAACAUAUUAAAUUAAUUAUAUUACUUUCACAGAUUAGACAAAAUCUGUACUCCAUUUUCAAUAUUGAGGAGGUAGAAGAAGCCUUAUACCAUACAAAUUUGGAGAAAGAAAUCCAGAACUGGAGAAUGAACAUUAGCGACUCUGAAUAUUUCUCGACCCCCUUCCAGAAGAGACCACCAUCUACUUUGUCGGGAAGAAAUCUAGACCCGAGUUGGCAAAUUUCUCAACAAAGUGCAAAAACAAUUUAAUCAUAUUUUUGAAAGAAUGUGCAAAAUCUAAUUCCGUGCAACUGUGCAAAUUUUUGAAACACAUAUUCAUUUUAUCUGAAGACAGAAAAAAAUAUAACAACAUUGAAAAUAAAACCAAAGUAGAAAUAAUAAACGUAGUGCAGUCUGAGAUGCAGAAAUUGAAAAAAUUGGAUUUUGACAUGGCUGAUGAGAAGUCCAAAGAGUGGGGAAAAAUAAAAACAGAGAAAAAAUCUAUGCUUAUAAAAUUUUAUAAAGAACUGGUGCAACUUUUAGAGGAAAUUGAAGAUCGCGAGGAAGAGGUAGAAGAGGAUAUAUCACUGAAAGAUGCGGAUUAGACCUGCUCUGCAUCUUACCUUUAGAUUGCAACCAUUAUUUCCGGCGACAUUGCACGGGAUCACGCACAUGAAGAAUG
Molecule: long non-coding RNA, 672 nt
Organism: Saccostrea cuccullata (small rock oyster)
Lineage: Eukaryota; Metazoa; Mollusca; Bivalvia; Ostreida; Ostreidae
Exons: 3
Source: RefSeq, a predicted model, not a curated record